RNAcentral lists this ribosomal RNA (1502 nucleotides) under uncultured prokaryote. RNAcentral describes it as "partial 16S ribosomal RNA". It matches the Rfam family "Bacterial small subunit ribosomal RNA". The record is from RNAcentral.
AGAGUUUGAUCCUGGCUCAGAUCCGAACGCUGGCGGCAUGCCUAACACAUGCAAGUCGAACGCCUGGUAGCUUGCUACCAGGCGUCAAGUGGCGGACGGGUGAGUAACGCGUAGGAAUCUGCCCAGUAGUGGGGGACAACCAGGGGAAACCCUGGCUAAUACCGCAUACACUCUACGGAGAAAAGGAGGCCCCUCUUCUUGAAAGCUUUCGCUAUUGGAUGAGCCUGCGUGAGAUUAGCUAGUUGGUAGGGUAAAGGCCUACCAAGGCGACGAUCUCUAGCUGGUCUGAGAGGACGAUCAGCCACACUGGGACUCAGACACGGCCCAGACUCCUACGGGAGGCAGCAGUGGGGAAUAUUGGACAAUGGGCGCAAGCCUGAUCCAGCAAUACCGCGUGUGUGAAGAAGGCCCUAGGGUUGUAAAGCACUUUCAGUAGGGAGGAAAAGUGUACAGUUAAUACCUGUAUGCCGUGACCAUUACCCACAGAAGAAGCACCGGCAAACUCUGUGCCAGCAGCCGCGGUAAUACAGAGGGUGCAAGCGUUAAUCGGAUUUACUGGGCGUAAAGGGCGUGUAGGCGGAUAUUUUAGUCGGAUGUGAAAGCCCCGGGCUUAACCUGGGAAUUGCAGUCGAUACUGGGUGUCUUGAGUAUGGUAGAGGAAAGUGGAAUUCUCGGUGUAGUGGUAAAAUACGUAGAUAUCGAGAAGAACACCAGUGGCGAAGGCGGCUUUCUGGCCCAAUACUGACGCUGAGGCGCGAAAGCGUGGGGAGCAAACAGGAUUAGAUACCCUGGUAGUCCACGCUGUAAACGAUGAGAACUAGAUGUUGGCCAGUUUUGCGAGGCAGUGUCGCAGCUAACGCAUUAAGUUCUCCGCCUGGGGAGUACGGUCGCAAGAUUAAAACUCAAAGGAAUUGACGGGGGCCCGCACAAGCGGUGGAACAUGUGGUUUAAUUCGAUGCAACGCGAAAAACCUUACCUACCCUUGAAAUCCCAAGAAUUCUCUAGAGAUAGAGAAGUGCCUUCGGGAACUUGGUGACAGGUGCUGCAUGGCUGUCGUCAGCUCGUGUCGUGAGAUGUUGGGUUAAGUCCCGUAACGAGCGCAACCCUUAUCUUUAGUUGCCAACAGUUCGGCUGGGAACUCUAAAGAAACUGCCGGCGUUAAGCCGGAGGAAGGCGAGGACGACGUCAAGUCAUCAUGGCCCUUAUGGGUAGGGCAACACACGUACUACAAUGGGAAGCACAGAGGGUUGCCAAGCCGCAAGGUGGAGCCAAUCCCAGAAAACUUCUCGUAGUCCAGAUUGAAGUCUGCAACUCGACUUCAUGAAGUUGGAAUCGCUAGUAAUCGCGAAUCAGAAUGUCGCGGUGAAUACGUUCUCGGGCCUUGUACACACCGCCCGUCAAACCAUGGGAGUGGAUUGUACCAGAAGCGGGUAGCUUAACCGUAAGGAGAGCGCCCACCACGGUAUGCUUCAUGACUGGGGUUAAGUCGUAACAAGGUAACC